GCCAGCGUGGCUCAGUUAGUAAGACUGAUAACCAAGGCCGCACACAUUAAAGGUGCGUGGGUUUGAAUCCCACUGCUGGCA
Molecule: transfer RNA, 81 nt
Filed under: Blastomyces dermatitidis ATCC 26199
Lineage: Eukaryota; Fungi; Ascomycota; Eurotiomycetes; Onygenales; Ajellomycetaceae
Description: tRNA-Leu
Rfam family: tRNA
About the family: Transfer RNA (tRNA) molecules are approximately 80 nucleotides in length. Their secondary structure includes four short double-helical elements and three loops (D, anti-codon, and T loops). Further hydrogen bonds mediate the characteristic L-shaped molecular structure. tRNAs have two regions of fundamental functional importance: the anti-codon, which is responsible for specific mRNA codon recognition, and the 3' end, to which the tRNAs corresponding amino acid is attached (by aminoacyl-tRNA synthetases). tRNAs cope with the degeneracy of the genetic code in two manners: having more than one tRNA (with a specific anti-codon) for a particular amino acid; and 'wobble' base-pairing, i.e. permitting non-standard base-pairing at the 3rd anti-codon position.
Source: RNAcentral